AUUGAACGCUGGCGGCAGGCCUAACACAUGCAAGUCGAACGGUAACAGGGAUCAGCUUGCUGAUUCGCUGACGAGUGGCGGGCGGGUGAGUAAUGUCUGGGAAACUGCCUGAUGGAGGGGGAUAACUACUGGAAACGGUAGCUAAUACCGCAUAACGUCGCAAGAACAAAGAGGGGGACCUUCGGGCCUCUUGCCAUCGGGUGUGUCCAGAUGGGAUUAGCUAGUAGGUGGGGUAACGGCUCACCUAGGCGACGAUCCCUAGCUGGUCUGAGAGGAUGACCAGCCACACUGGAACUGAGACACGGUCCAGACUCCUACGGGAGGCAGCAGUGGGGAAUAUUGCACAAUGGGCGCAAGCCUGAUGCAGCCAUGCCGCGUGUAUGAAGAAGGCCUUCGGGUUGUAAAGUACUUUCAGCGGGGAGGAAGGGAGUAAAGUUAAUACCUUUGCUCAUUGACGUUACCCGCAGAAGAAGCACCGGCUAACUCCGUG
RNAcentral lists this ribosomal RNA (490 nucleotides) under uncultured bacterium. RNAcentral describes it as "partial 16S ribosomal RNA". It matches the Rfam family "Bacterial small subunit ribosomal RNA", at positions 30 to 507 of the family's 1533-position model. The record is from RNAcentral.